RNAcentral lists this ribosomal RNA (465 nucleotides) under uncultured bacterium. RNAcentral describes it as "partial 16S ribosomal RNA". It matches the Rfam family "Bacterial small subunit ribosomal RNA", at positions 338 to 795 of the family's 1533-position model. The record is from RNAcentral.
CCUACGGGAGGCAGCAGUAGGGAAUCUUCCACAAUGGACGAAAGUCUGAUGGAGCAACGCCGCGUGAGUGAAGAAGGUUUUCGGCUCGUAAAGCUCUGUUGUUAGUGAAGAAAGAUAGAGGUAGUGACUAGCCUUUACUUGCCGGUAAUUUCUUAGAAAGUCACGGCUAACUACGUGCCAGCCGCCGCGGGUAUACGGAGGGGGCAAGCGGUGUCCGGAUUUUUUGGGCGUAAAAGGAGUGCAGGCGGCUCAAUAAGUCUGAUGUGAAAGCCUUAGGAUUAAACGGAGAAUUGCAUCAGAAACUGUUGAACUUGAGUGCAGGAGAGGAGAGUGGAACUCCAUGUGUAGCGGUGGAAUGCGUAGAUAUAUGGAAGAACACCAGUGGCGAAGGCGGCUCUCUGGUCUGCAACUGACGCUGAGGCUCGAAAGCAUGGGUAGCGAACAGGAUUAGAUACCCUAGUAGUC